AGCGAACGCUGGCGGCAGGCCUAAUACAUGCAAGUCGAACGGACCCUUCAGGGUUAGUGGCGGACGGGUGAGUAACACGUGGGAACGUGCCUUUAGGUUCGGAAUAGCUCCUGGAAACGGGUGGUAAUGCCGAAUGUGCCCUUCGGGGGAAAGAUUUAUCGCCUUUAGAGCGGCCCGCGUCUGAUUAGCUAGUUGGUGAGGUAAUGGCUCACCAAGGCGACGAUCAGUAGCUGGUCUGAGAGGAUGACCAGCCACACUGGGACUGAGACACGGCCCAGACUCCUACGGGAGGCAGCAGUGGGGAAUCUUGCGCAAUGGGCGAAAGCCUGACGCAGCCAUGCCGCGUGAAUGAUGAAGGUCUUAGGAUUGUAAAAUUCUUUCACCGGGGACGAUAAUGACGGUACCCGGAGAAGAAGCCCCGGCUAACUUCGUGCCAGCAGCCGCCGUAA
RNAcentral lists this ribosomal RNA (449 nucleotides) under uncultured bacterium. RNAcentral describes it as "partial 16S ribosomal RNA". It matches the Rfam family "Bacterial small subunit ribosomal RNA", at positions 29 to 523 of the family's 1533-position model. The record is from RNAcentral.